This 274-nucleotide ribosomal RNA is filed under the name uncultured bacterium. Its description in RNAcentral is "partial 16S ribosomal RNA". It matches the Rfam family "Bacterial small subunit ribosomal RNA", at positions 523 to 796 of the family's 1533-position model. The record is from RNAcentral.
AUACGGAGGGUGCAAGCGUUACUCGGAAUCACUGGGCGUAAAGGAUGCGUAGGCUGGAUGUCAAGUUGGAAGUGAACUCCUAUGGCUUAACCAUAGAACUGCUUCCAAAACUGGCAACCUAGAGUGAGGGAGAGGCAGAUGGAAUUAGUGGUGUAGGGGUAAAAUCCGUAGAUAUCACUAGGAAUACCGAUUGCGAAGGCGAUCUGCUAGAACUCUACUGACGCUAAGGCAUGAAAGCGUGGGGAGCAAACAGGAUUAGAAACCCUAGUAGUCC